UUGAUUUUGAACUUCUGGCAUCAUUGUUGGACUUACUAGAUUUUGUGAGGUCAAGAGUAAUGGUCGGUCCAGAUGAGCCCAGUGAGGCUGAGCAGGGUACUGAACCAAUGGUGAGACUACGAGUUGCAGCUGAUGUUGCCUCCAUUUGUGAGGGAUGUGGAUGAUUGUGCUCCCCUUCAUAAGUUGCCACUAGAACAGAUUGAUCUUCAAUGCUUCUUUGAACCUUCUUUUUGACAGGGCAGCUAGGAGCAAAAGAGCAUUUGAAGUAAGCUCUUGGAGAAGGAUUAUCUCUUGUGACCUUUUGGCCAUAUUUUCUCCAUUGAUAUCCAUCCUUGACAACUAGGCUUGUAUCGUUUGCUUCUGUCCUCACAUAAGCCCUGGAAAUCUUUGCUUUGAUUACUUCUUCUCUUGAUUUCUUGCAUGAUUCUUCAUCAGUUGAGCUGCUCUCAGAAAUCCCAUUCAUUGCAAUUGUAUUAUCAUUAUUGUUGUUGCUGCUUUCAGAUUUCCUUUUUCUUGAUGGGCUAAGCUCCUUGUCUUGAUUCUUGCUCAUGAAAUCCAUUAACUGGCUUCUCAAAGCAUUGUAGUUUUCGCACAUCACAGAUAGCAUUUCUGUGAGCUUCUUGUUUUCUGCGCUCACUCGGUUCAAUUCCUCCACCAAAGCUCCAGUCUCGUCUUUCACUGAAACCUUCCUCCCCAACUCCAUAAAAUUGCUUUGCCCUUCUUUGGCCAAGCCUACCCUUGCUUGUACAGGGACAUCAUCAUCAUUAGAACGUCGAGGAUUAAUAUUAAGAUCCAAAGAAGUGUCUACCCAUGAAGAAGAAUAAUCCAUAGCCGCCGAAGUCGAAGUAGUCUUCAUUCUCACUGAUCUUGAAGCAAAACCCAAACAAAAUUCCUUUUCUUUUAUCCUCUCGAACCUAGUAGUNNNNNNNNNNNGCAAAUGAAGAAAGGAUAUAUAUAGAGAUCUAGCAGAAAGCAAGCUGAAGCUGUCUACUCGUUUAGGAGAAGAAAGAAGGUGGAAAAUUAGAUAAGAUAUUGA
Molecule: unclassified non-coding RNA, 1036 nt
Filed under: Hevea brasiliensis (rubber tree)
Lineage: Eukaryota; Viridiplantae; Streptophyta; Magnoliopsida; Malpighiales; Euphorbiaceae
Source: RNAcentral